This 374-nucleotide ribosomal RNA is filed under the name uncultured organism. Its description in RNAcentral is "partial 16S ribosomal RNA". It matches the Rfam family "Bacterial small subunit ribosomal RNA", at positions 527 to 896 of the family's 1533-position model. The record is from RNAcentral.
GUAGGUGGCAAGCGUUGUCCGGAAUUAUUGGGCGUAAAGCGCGCGCAGGCGGUCCUUUAAGUCUGAUGUGAAAGCCCACGGCUCAACCGUGGAGGGUCAUUGGAAACUGGGGGACUUGAGUACAGAAGAGGAAAGCGGAAUUCCAAGUGUAGCGGUGAAAUGCGUAGAGAUUUGGAGGAACACCAGUGGCGAAGGCGGCUUUCUGGUCUGUAACUGACGCUGAGGCGCGAAAGCGUGGGGAGCAUACAGGGAUUAGAUACCCUGGUAGUCCACGCCGUAAACGAUGAGUGCUAAGUGUUAGGGGGGUUUCCGCCCCCUUAGUGCUGCAGCUGACGCAUUAAGCACUCCGCCCUGGGAGUACGGCCGCAAGGCUG